Long non-coding RNA from Pezoporus occidentalis (night parrot), 726 nucleotides. RefSeq lists it as uncharacterized. Lineage: Eukaryota; Metazoa; Chordata; Aves; Psittaciformes; Psittacidae. The record is from RefSeq and is a predicted model, not a curated record. The transcript has 3 exons.
CCAGGGUCUCUCAGGAAAGUCCCCACAAAAGAGCACAGUGCCAAGGGACACACAGCAGCUCAGCCAGCCCACGUUUGCCAUUCUUUUCCCUGCUUCUUGGGGGUGUCUGAAAGGGCCUGGGGAAAGGAGGGGAGAAGCCCCCAGCAGCUGGAAGGCACCCAAGAAGGGGAUGCUGAGUGUCUGGAGCCACCUCUACCCUCAGACAGAGCCCCCAGGACAUGCAGCUGGCCUGCUCUUUGCCAUCCUUGCUCACCUAGAGGCUUUUGUUAGGUUGACUAAACCCUCACAGACCCCCUUUCUCCAUCAGCUCUCCUUCUUGAGGCUCUCUGCAUCCUUGGCCCCAGUGCUUGGCUUUGAAAAGCCUGUGUGAAUGCUGAGCUGGUAAGUGGUUCCUGGCUUGGUGAUGUGAGAACUGCUCUCUUUGGGUAGGAGUUUGGGUAGUAUCCUUUGUGGUAACACCAUCCUGGGAGGAAUGGGACAGGAGCAGCAAUGCUGGGGGCAAAACAGGGGCUGGAGCAGAUAUUUGGAGAGCAGCAGGAAAAGCCCAUGUGUGUGACUUGCAUUUACCUGCACUUACUUUGAAAAAGGUUGUAGCAAAGCCCUCUCCUCUUGCCUUGUAUCAUGAAGACCAACUUGAGAAGAGCCAUUGAAGCAAGAGCGUCCACUCAGUCACCAGAGAGGACAGAACUCUCCAGUAGUUGACUUUCUUGCUGGCAUUUGAGGAAC